Molecule: ribosomal RNA, 468 nt
Filed under: uncultured bacterium
Lineage: Bacteria
Description: partial 16S ribosomal RNA
Rfam family: Bacterial small subunit ribosomal RNA
Source: RNAcentral
GAUGAACGCUGGCGGCGUGCUUAACACAUGCAAGUCGAACGGUGAAGGCGGAGCUUGCUCUGCUGGAUCAGUGGCGAACGGGUGAGUAACACGUGAGCAAUCUGCCCCUGACUCUGGGAUAAGCUCUGGAAACGUCGUCUAAUACUGGAUACGAGCUGCGACGGCAUCUUCAGCAGCUGGAAAGAACUUCGGUCAGGGAUGAGCUCGCGGCCUAUCAGCUUGUUGGUGAGGUAACGGCUCACCAAGGCGUCGACGGGUAGCCGGCCUGGUAGGGUGACCGGACACACUGGGACUGAGACAAGGCACAGACUCCUACGGGAGGCAGCAGUGGGGAAGAUUGCACAAUGGGCGGAAGCCUGAUGCAGCAACGCCGCGUGAGGGACGACGGCCUUCGGGUUGUAAACCUCUUUUAGCAGGGAAGAAGCGAAAGUGACGGUACCUGCAGAAAAAGCGCCGGCUAACUACGUG